RNAcentral lists this ribosomal RNA (770 nucleotides) under uncultured bacterium. RNAcentral describes it as "bacterial SSU rRNA". It matches the Rfam family "Bacterial small subunit ribosomal RNA", at positions 28 to 796 of the family's 1533-position model. The record is from RNAcentral.
GAUGAACGCUGGCGGCGUGCUUAACACAUGCAAGUCGAGCGAAGCACUUUACUUUGAGAUCUUCGGAAGGAUAAGUUUAGUGACUGAGCGGCGGACGGGUGAGUAACGCGUGGGUAACCUGCCUCACACAGGGGGAUAACAGUUAGAAAUGACUGCUAAUACCGCAUAAGACCACAGCACCGCAUGGUGCAGGGGUAAAAACUCCGGUGGUGUGAGAUGGACCCGCGUCUGAUUAGCUAGUUGGCAGGGUAACGGCCUACCAAGGCGACGAUCAGUAGCCGACCUGAGAGGGUGACCGGCCACAUUGGGACUGAGACACGGCCCAAACUCCUACGGGAGGCAGCAGUGGGGAAUAUUGCACAAUGGGGGAAACCCUGAUGCAGCGACGCCGCGUGAGCGAUGAAGUAUUUCGGUAUGUAAAGCUCUAUCAGCAGGGAAGAAAUUGACGGUACCUGACUAAGAAGCACCGGCUAAAUACGUGCCAGCAGCCGCGGUAAUACGUAUGGUGCAAGCGUUAUCCGGAUUUACUGGGUGUAAAGGGAGCGUAGACGGAUAGGCAAGUCUGAAGUGAAACUCCGGGGCUCAACCCCGGAACUGCUUUGGAAACUGUUUAUCUAGAGUGCUGGAGAGGUAAGUGGAAUUCCUAGUGUAGCGGUGAAAUGCGUAGAUAUUAGGAGGAACACCAGUGGCGAAGGCGGCUUACUGGACAGUAACUGACGUUGAGGCUCGAAAGCGUGGGGAGCAAACAGGAUUAGAUACCCUGGUAGUCC